UACGGGGGGGGCAAGCGUUGUUCGGAAUUACUGGGCGUAAAGGGCUCGUAGGCGGCCAACUAAGUCAGACGUGAAAUCCCCAGGCUUAACCUGGGAACUGCGUCUGAUACUGGAUGGCUUGAAUCCGGGAGAGGGAUGCAGAAUUCCAGGUGUAGCGGUGAAAUGCGUAGAUAUCUGGAGGAACACCGGUGGCGAAGGCGGCAUCCUGGACCAAUAUUGACGCUGAGGAGCGAAAGCCAGGGGAGCAAACGGG
Molecule: ribosomal RNA, 253 nt
Filed under: uncultured bacterium
Lineage: Bacteria
Description: partial 16S ribosomal RNA
Rfam family: Bacterial small subunit ribosomal RNA
Source: RNAcentral